GGUUUAUCUACAUGAGAUGUCGGUGGAUAUGAAUAAACAGUCCAACUACACAGCUGAAAUACAAUGAACAACAUAAUACUGAUAAAUUGCAUAGUAAUUUUACUCAUACAGGAAGGUGAGAAUUACAAUUUAUAUCAGUUCAUUAAAAUUCAGACACUUGUACGGAAAACAAAUAGUUAACAGAAAACGAUACGUAGUUAAGUUUGUAGACCGUAGCAUUGGUUUUCAAGAUAAUAAAUUAAGGAAGAACAAACUAUGGAAAUAUUAUGAUAAAAGACAGGCCGAAGACUUAAACAAACAUCAAUAAAAUCAUUAUAAGGUGUUAUCAACUGGUUGUUUCUGUAUUAACACUGAUAUAGAUUAAAGGUUUGCUGUAGGGUCGAGGUCAAUACAACAGACCGAGAAUCUAUACCAGUGCAAAUACAGAAACAGCCAGUUCAUAACACUUUUAUUAAAUAAACCAAAAUUUUUCAAUACAGACUUGUUCUGAAUGCGGAAUUACAUACAUCAAAUGUGAAUAUAGAGCCAAUAUUUCCAAUACGGACUGGCAAUGACUCCUGAUUUACAUGCACCAUAUAUGUAAUUCAGAAUUGAUUGCGAGUCCGGAUUGGAAAUAUUGGUCCGGGCCGAAAAUUACUAAAGAUCAGAUGAUUGAUAUGACCAGGACGACGUCACUAGUAUGACACAUGCCGUUUUGGUAGUAUUAGGGCUCUUUUAAUCGUAUUAUUUAUUAACAAAAUUUGUUAUUCAUGAAUGGCAAAAAAAAUGUUUUUUAUAUAAAGCUAUGGACAAUAACCUUCCUUUAUCCUACAAAUGCUUAUUUCGACAUUGCACAAUGACAUGCUUUCAUCAAGCUACAGUGGAGAUCAGUUCUAACCUCUCAUAAAUUCUGUCAGAAUCUGUCAGGAGAACUGUUCUAAACAGUAUGAGAACUGUCAGUCUGACACCUUUUAGUCAUUUAGGUUAGAACUGUUCUAGCUAGAACUGAUUUGGUCAGUUCUACCUAGAACUGAUUAAUAUUAUAUAGAGUUUUGCUAUUUUGCCGGUUUUAUUUCAGAUUUAUAAUCGGCAAGAGAACAUGUUUAACCGCGCCAUAUUCUGCAUGUAUGUGCCUGUUCCAAGUCAGGAGCCCGUAAUUCAGUGAUUUUCUUUGGUUGAUGUGUAACAUAAAAUAUUUCCCGUUUUUCUUUCAUUUUUUGUACAUAAAUUAGGCCGUUAAUUAGUAUUAUGGGGGGAGGGGGGUUAUUAUUUGAAUUGUUUUACAUCUGUUAUUCUUGGAGUCAGGAUGGCUCGUUAUGACAUAACAAAAUUAUCUGACCUCAUUAACCAAAUGUAAUAUCUGUUUAUGAGUAGUUUUCACACCUCGGACGGACCUGUUUAACUAAAAUCUUUGACCACACAUCUAACUGAUUAUUUGCUCUUCUUUCUGUAAAAUCAUAUAGCUGCACAGAACUUCAGUUUUAAUUUAGGUCAAGAGACUGUACUAUACAAGUACAGCAACAUUGGAGAACAAUUUUGUUCGCAUCAAUUUAUGUGCCAGCAUCAGGGCAGAUCCAGCCAUUAAAAAGGGGGGGGGGUUCCAACUAUAUGUUCCCAUUCAAUGCAUUGAUCGUGGAAAAAGGUCAACUCCUGAACCCCCCCCUUAUCUGCCAAUGAGCAUGCCUAUUUUUAUUAAAAUAUUGAAUCAUAAACAAUAUCAGUAGUUUUAUACUUCAGAUGAGUCGUAUAAUAAAAUCUUUUGACCGCAUCAACCAAACUUACCAUAUUUGCUUUUUUAUGUAAAUCUAAAUAGCUGCACAGUAGUUCAGUUAUAAUUUUAGUCAGAGGGACUGUAGUAUAUAAAUACUACAAUUAUGGAAAUCAAUACCACAAUUUGUUUUAUCGUAUCAAUUGAGGGUGCCAGCAUUUCCUAUUUUUAUUCAAAAUAUCGCAUAAGAAACAAAUAUCUGUAGUUUUCAUACCUCAGACUGACAUUAAACAUGUAUCAUGUACAAAAUUAUUUGUCUGCAUCAAUCAAAACUGACCAUAUUGACAUCAAUCUAUAUUUGACCGCAUCAAAAACUGACCAUAUUUGACCGCAUCAAAAAACUGACCAUAUUUUGUCUUUUUAUGUAACUCUUAUCGAAUAGUAAAUGUAAUAUUUUUUGUAAGAUGGAUUGUAAAAUCAUGAAUACAAAUGAUAGAAAUAUUUGAACACAAUGCUACCUAAUUUCAUUUGCAUCAAUUUAGAAUCCAGAUGUCCUCUUUUAUUCAAAAUAUUGCUCAUAAAACAAAUAUCAGAGUUUUCAUACUCAGACUACUGUAUAACAAAAUAAUUUGUCGCAUCAACCAAACUGACAUAUUUGCACUUUAUUAUGACAUUGUCAAUCUUAAUAGCCGCAAAGUAAAUCACGUAUAUUUUAUAUCAGGAUGAUUGUUAAUAUAAAUGAAAGCAUAUUGGAAAAAUAAAAUUAUGCUCACAUCAGCUUAUAGUACCAGCAUGUCCUCUUUUUCAUCAAAAUUUUGAAUCGUAACUAAUUUCAGUAGUUUUGAUAUCUCAGACUGACUCCUGAAUAUAAAAAUUAUGUGUCACAUCAACCAAAACUGACCAUAUUUACAGCAUCACCAAAACUGACCAUAUGUGACAGCAUCAACCAAAACUGACCAUAAUUACACUUUGUUAUGUAAAUCUUUAUAUAUAUAUAUAUAUAGCCGAUACAAUCAUUAUAGUAAUACAAUUAUUACGAUGGAUUGCAUAAUUCAAUGACAGCAAUAACAAUGAAUAUUGAACACAUUUGCUUCAAAAAAUUUCCACAUAAUUUAGAAAUAUCAGAAAGUCCUCUUUUUAUUCAAAAUAUUGAAUUGUAAACAAAUUCAGUGGUUCGAUAUAUCAGACUGAGUGAGAGUUGUUUUAACAAAUUAUUUGACCGAUCAACCAAAACAGAACUUAUUUACACUUUAUCAUUAAUAUACAUGUAUGGUCUCAUUGUAAACAUGGAAACCAAUAUUAUUUCUAUGUGAGGACGGGAUCGUAGAUUAAAAAUGACACCAAUUUUGAAACACAAUACACUUACGCUAAUCCUGGCUGACCCACCCUCUUGAACUUUGAAGCAAUACAACAAUGAUUUCCAUUGUGGCGUCAGAAUUUGUUUUAUGACGUAAAUUUUACGGGAACCUGUGAUAUCCUUGGCAGACAAAUAGCGACAAGGUGUAUUUAUACCAUAUCUAAGAAUUUAGCGACCGUUAUUUCCUCUCUGUAUCCAUAAUAUGAACCGUCAUUAAACAUGCUCAAGUGACUUUUUAACAUGUUUAAAUCAGUAGUUUGUGAUUUUUUUUUUUUUUAAAACAAAAACUAUUAUGGCAUCAGCCAACACUCAUGACUGAUUAUAAUAACUUUUUUUAAAAAAAAAAAAAGUACAUUAUGGAAUUCUCUCUUGAAAUAGUUCCUGUUAAUAUAAUUUAAAGAAGCAAAGAAAAAGCAUGAUUUUGUUUGUAGCCGAACGUCCAGGGGCAAUUUUUCAUUCAUGUUCAGAUCCAGUAUAUUUUUCUGAGUUGCAGACUCCCAGAUAUCAUUUAUAACUGUUAUGGAUAAGUCUGGCUAAAUUGAUGAGAUGGUGCAAAUGUAUAUAUAGUUUUUUUACGUGUACAACACUUUUUUUCAUUAAUAUCCAUAAUUUCCACGGUACAUUUUCGUUUGAACAUUUGUCAAAACAGAAUCUUAAAUGAAUGUAAAUCCAAGGCAAAAAAGGUAAAUUACGAUUAAAAUUCCAUGAAUUAAAUGCAGAGUUUUAUUUAGGAAGAGACUGUUAAAACGGGACGAAAAACGUAAACAAUGAUGUUUCGUAUGCAAUCUUAUAAAAAUAUUUCUCCGAGUUGGGUAACCUUCUAUUUCACUUCGUAUUUGUACAUGUAACGUAGUAAAGUCGUUUGAUCAGUAAAAAAUAUAGAAAGUCUGCUAUUUAAUAUAUAGCAAAGUAAAUGGAAGUGAUUUAUUUCUUCUAAAUUCUAAAGUGCCCUUACUGCAGUGACGUCAUUUAGAACGGUUCUACAGUACUGACUGAUUGUCAGUUCUGCUGACAGUUCUACGGUUAAAGUGAUUUUGAGUUCUACCUAGAACUGAUUUAGACAGUUCUACCCUAGAACUGAUCCUGACAGUUCUACCUAGAACUGAUUUAGUCAGUAUCUUUCAACUAAUUUGUGAUGGUGAAAAUUAUGCAAGGUCGAUAUUUGGAGUAGUUUUUGUGUCACACCUCUGUAGUCUGUAUAAUGUGAAAAGACACGAUCAGGUUCUUAACUGGCAUUAGUACAUGAAGUAAAUGCUAUAUGAUGAGAAGUUGACAGUUGGACAGUUGAAAUCAUCCCUUUUGUCAUUAUUCUAGACUGAUGUUUUCCAUCUUAGUCAAUAUCGGAGAAAGAUAAUUUUCAUCUGGUGGAUCGUCUGCUUUCGGUAGUACGUGUAUCCUUAAUGUUAUGUUCACUGUGAUAUUGUGGGUUAUUGAGUGACAGAACAUCAUCCAUAUAUCAUGACGUAAGUUGAAGAGCUUUGCAAGAUGGUUUUGGUAUUUACUUUGAGAAGAUUCUGUAUGAAUUCUAAUAUAAGUACGAAAUCAAGACGGCUGGUAGUGUUGAAUAAUGAUGUUGAUGUGUUUCCCUCAGUUUUAGUUUGUAACCCGGAUUUGUGUUUUAUACUACUAUUGACUUUAUUUGAAUUCAUCUUCGUUGUCUUUGUUGUGGGAUUAAAUGUGGUUCUUUACAAAUUAAGUCUUUCUUUACUUCUUAUAAGGAGUUUGUAUCUACGUUCGCAAAUUUGGAUGAAAAAGCUCUGUUUUAUGAGAUGAGGUAGUCCAUCUUUUGAUUGAGAAUAUAGGCAUAGUAGUGUAUAUUUUAGAAUACUGAUCGGGCGGAACUUAAGAUUUUAUUUGCACAAAUAAAGUUUAUUUGAAGAUGUAUGUGAAAUACAUGUAUGUGAAUAAUGUAUGUGAAUAAUGUAUGUGAUAAAUACCCUUAUAAUUAUUAUUUCUGAUUUCUAACCACCUAUCAGUUUCACCAAAAGAUAUACAAAAGAAUGGAAGAAAAAAAGUUUAAAAUGUAGUAUUGAUAUGUGCUAUAGCACAGUAUUUUUAAGUAUUUUAAAGUAUUUUGUAUUACUAAUAUUCUGUUUUAAACCUUCCUAAUUCUGAAAUUAAAAUUAAAAGUAAUUGUAUACAGUCAUAUGAAAAAAUAUAAAACUUACAACCAACUUUUCCUCAUCAGCCAUUUUUGGUCUUUUUUUCUUCAUAAGAAUCAUGGAAGAGCGCUAGAAGAUAAAAAUAUUUUGUAAACAGAGAAAACUGCAGAAGCAAGCCUGGGUAGGGAGGCUACUAUACUAAGAAUUCUUUUUUUUUUGUGUGCCCAUUCCCCAUAAAAAAACAAAAACAACAGCAACAAAAUGCAAACGGAAUGAAAGAAGAAAAAAAACGAACAUCAAAACGUUAUGGAUAAUUGACAUAUCCAUAUUUUUAAUCUUCCGUCAUCUUAGGUAUACCUUCAUAUCAACACUUUCAAAAACGUAAAACUGUUUGCAUGUUUUUAACUCUAAAAAUCAAUGGCUAUGACUAAAUAUUUGCUGUGAAAAUUUACAUAAAAGUUUUUAAACAAGAAUUCACAAAUUUAAAGCACAAUUUAAAAAAACAAAAUAAGUUAAAAAUAAGAAAUUAUACAUUAUUAAUUUCAAAAAGACUGAGAAAUCAUUGACCUUCUUAGUGGGAAAGAUGUUAUGUUUAGAGUUUACUUGAUCCAUGAAAAACUAAAGACGAAUGUACACACUCGUUCGAUGAUUUAAUAUAGGCGUUGGAAGAAAUUUGUUAUCCUAUCAUAGUCUAAAGUAAUAAGCAUCAAAUGACUGAGGUAUCGUUGACUUUUGACCCAAUAAAUUUAAGCUUGAGCAUCAACUUGUUUUUUUUUAUAUUAAAAAUGGUGCUUUAAAUAACAGCUGAAAUAAACUAGCAGGAUUUUCUGCAGACUUUGAAAUCAAUAGAAAUCCACUGAAUAUUGGUUGUAAAAAAGAUAAUUUACAACAAAUGAAGGGUGAAGUUAUGUUCAUAUUUAAUACCGGAUUAAUGUCAAAACAUAAAAAUAAGAAUAAAAAAAUAAUAAAAAAAAAAAAAAAACAAACAAAAAACCGGGAAUUCUGAACGUGUGAUGAUACUUUAAAAUGUAUCGACCUUACAAAGAAUGGUGCAAAUAUUACAAAUAUUCGUGAAAUACAUUUCAUUAUACGCAUACAACUUAUUUUUUAUAUUUGAUCAAUGAACUCAUCAUAUAUACCAGGAUUGCAAUUUUGUAUUUGCGACAGAUCCGCGUUUCGUCUGCAAAAGACUUACAUGUAUCAGUGACGCUCGACUAAAAAAUUAUUAAAAGUUAAAAUAAAGUACGAAGUUGAAGGGUAUUGAGGACCAAAAAUUCCGAAAAGAUUUGCCAAAUACAGCUUAAAAUACUUAAGUACUGCAAAACUAUUAUCUGUUUGCUUCUAAAAAUUGCGGCACCUUCCCUCCGAAUCAAUGUCUCAUUCAUACAUAAGGAGUUUGAUGUUCAGUAGUUGUCGUUUGUUUAUGUGGUUAUAAUGUUUCUCGUUGCUCGUUUUUUUGUACAGAUUAGACCGUUGGUUUUCCCGUUUGAAUGGUUUUACACUAGUAAUUUUGUAGGGCCUUAUAUAGCUUGCUGUUCGGUGUGAGCCAAGGCUCCUUGAAGACCAUACUUUGACCUAUAAUGGUUUACUUUUGAAAAUUGUGAUUGGAUGGAGAGUUGUCUCAUUGGUACUCAUCCCACAUCUUCUUAUAUCUAUUAUGUCUUGUGAAGUUUUUGAACAACAAAAAAUAAUGUGGCCAUGGGAAUAUAUUUUAUUUUGCAUUUGUAUUGUUUGUUCGUACUGACUAUUAUUAUUAUAUAUAAAUUAAUUGUAGUUCAGUGUACAGUUGUAUUAUUGGCUGUUAAAGAGGAAUUUAACAACUCAGCACAAGUUACAUUUAGUUGUUAUUUAUCGAUUGGGUCACAUGAUUGCUCAGCUGAAUUUCUUUACAACAAACAAACACUUGAUACUCUGAGGUCAAGCAAAGGAAAAUGUUAUCACAAACUACAGUUAUGUAGCAGAGAGAGAUGCUCUUGUUCUCAAGACUGUAAUACAUUUAUUUUGAUUAUCACAAACCAGAAGUAUAAAAAUGGAGACAUCGUUGGAUGCGAAGUGCAGCACAUAAAUGAUGAAAAGAUACUGUCAACGACAGAAGAAAUAUUAUAUAAUGGCAGUG
This 7262-nucleotide long non-coding RNA is filed under the name Mytilus galloprovincialis (Mediterranean mussel). The record is from RNAcentral. Lineage: Eukaryota; Metazoa; Mollusca; Bivalvia; Mytilida; Mytilidae.